This 2822-nucleotide ribosomal RNA is filed under the name Salmonella enterica subsp. enterica serovar Enteritidis. RNAcentral's name for it is "bacterial LSU rRNA". It matches the Rfam family "Bacterial large subunit ribosomal RNA". The record is from RNAcentral. Lineage: Bacteria; Pseudomonadati; Pseudomonadota; Gammaproteobacteria; Enterobacterales; Enterobacteriaceae.
GGGUUGUGAGGUUAAGCGACUAAGCGUACACGGUGGAUGCCCUGGCAGUCAGAGGCGAUGAAGGGCGUGCUAAUCUGCGAUAAGCGCCGGUAAGGUGAUAUGAACCGUUAUAACCGGCGAUACCCGAAUGGGGAAACCCAGUGUGAUUCGUCACACUAUCAUUAACUGAAUCCAUAGGUUAAUGAGGCGAACCGGGGGAACUGAAACAUCUAAGUACCCCGAGGAAAAGAAAUCAACCGAGAUUCCCCCAGUAGCGGCGAGCGAACGGGGAGGAGCCCAGAGCCUGAAUCAGCAUGUGUGUUAGUGGAAGCGUCUGGAAAGGCGCGCGAUACAGGGUGACAGCCCCGUACACAAAAGCGCAUGUGCUGUGAGCUCGAUGAGUAGGGCGGGACACGUGGUAUCCUGUCUGAAUAUGGGGGGACCAUCCUCCAAGGCUAAAUACUCCUGACUGACCGAUAGUGAACCAGUACCGUGAGGGAAAGGCGAAAAGAACCCCGGCGAGGGGAGUGAAAAAGAACCUGAAACCGUGUACGUACAAGCAGUGGGAGCACGGGCGUUAAGUUGCAGGGUAUAGACCCGAAACCCGGUGAUCUAGCCAUGGGCAGGUUGAAGGUUGGGUAACACUAACUGGAGGACCGAACCGACUAAUGUUGAAAAAUUAGCGGAUGACCUGUGGCUGGGGGUGAAAGGCCAAUCAAACCGGGAGAUAGCUGGUUCUCCCCGAAAGCUAUUUAGGUAGCGCCUCGUGAAUUCAUCUCCGGGGGUAGAGCACUGUUUCGGCUAGGGGGCCAUCCCGGCUUACCAACCCGAUGCAAACUGCGAAUACCGGAGAAUGUUAUCACGGGAGACACACGGCGGGUGCUAACGUCCGUCGUGAAGAGGGAAACAACCCAGACCGCCAGCUAAGGUCCCAAAGUCAUGGUUAAGUGGGAAACGAUGUGGGAAGGCCCAGACAGCCAGGAUGUUGGCUUAGAAGCAGCCAUCAUUUAAAGAAAGCGUAAUAGCUCACUGGUCGAGUCGGCCUGCGCGGAAGAUGUAACGGGGCUAAACCAUGCACCGAAGCUGCGGCAGCGACACUGUGUGUUGUUGGGUAGGGGAGCGUUCUGUAAGCCUGUGAAGGUGUGUCGUGAGGCAUGCUGGAGGUAUCAGAAGUGCGAAUGCUGACAUAAGUAACGAUAAAGCGGGUGAAAAGCCCGCUCGCCGGAAGACCAAGGGUUCCUGUCCAACGUUAAUCGGGGCAGGGUGAGUCGACCCCUAAGGCGAGGCCGAAAGGCGUAGUCGAUGGGAAACGGGUUAAUAUUCCCGUACUUGGUGUUACUGCGAAGGGGGGACGGAGAAGGCUAUGUUGGCCGGGCGACGGUUGUCCCGGUUUAAGCGUGUAGGUGUGUGUUCCAGGUAAAUCCGGUUCACUUUAACACUGAGGCGUGACGACGAGGCACUACGGUGCUGAAGCAACAAAUGCCCUGCUUCCAGGAAAAGCCUCUAAGCAUCAGGUAACAUCAAAUCGUACCCCAAACCGACACAGGUGGUCAGGUAGAGAAUACCAAGGCGCUUGAGAGAACUCGGGUGAAGGAACUAGGCAAAAUGGUGCCGUAACUUCGGGAGAAGGCACGCUGACACGUAGGUGAAGUGAUUUACUCAUGGAGCUGAAGUCAGUCGAAGAUACCAGCUGGCUGCAACUGUUUAUUAAAAACACAGCACUGUGCAAACACGAAAGUGGACGUAUACGGUGUGACGCCUGCCCGGUGCCGGAAGGUUAAUUGAUGGGGUCAGCGCAAGCGAAGCUCCUGAUCGAAGCCCCGGUAAACGGCGGCCGUAACUAUAACGGUCCUAAGGUAGCGAAAUUCCUUGUCGGGUAAGUUCCGACCUGCACGAAUGGCGUAAUGAUGGCCAGGCUGUCUCCACCCGAGACUCAGUGAAAUUGAACUCGCUGUGAAGAUGCAGUGUACCCGCGGCAAGACGGAAAGACCCCGUGAACCUUUACUAUAGCUUGACACUGAACAUUGAGCCUUGAUGUGUAGGAUAGGUGGGAGGCUUUGAAGUGUGGACGCCAGUCUGCAUGGAGCCGACCUUGAAAUACCACCCUUUAAUGUUUGAUGUUCUAACGUGGACCCGUUACCCGGGUUGCGGACAGUGUCUGGUGGGUAGUUUGACUGGGGCGGUCUCCUCCUAAAGAGUAACGGAGGAGCACGAAGGUUGGCUAAUCCUGGUCGGACAUCAGGAGGUUAGUGCAAUGGCAUAAGCCAGCUUGACUGCGAGCGUGACGGCGCGAGCAGGUGCGAAAGCAGGUCAUAGUGAUCCGGUGGUUCUGAAUGGAAGGGCCAUCGCUCAACGGAUAAAAGGUACUCCGGGGAUAACAGGCUGAUACCGCCCAAGAGUUCAUAUCGACGGCGGUGUUUGGCACCUCGAUGUCGGCUCAUCACAUCCUGGGGCUGAAGUAGGUCCCAAGGGUAUGGCUGUUCGCCAUUUAAAGUGGUACGCGAGCUGGGUUUAGAACGUCGUGAGACAGUUCGGUCCCUAUCUGCCGUGGGCGCUGGAGAACUGAGGGGGGCUGCUCCUAGUACGAGAGGACCGGAGUGGACGCAUCACUGGUGUUCGGGUUGUCAUGCCAAUGGCACUGCCCGGUAGCUAAAUGCGGAAGAGAUAAGUGCUGAAAGCAUCUAAGCACGAAACUUGCCCCGAGAUGAGUUCUCCCUGAGACUUAGAGUCUCCUGAAGGAACGUUGAAGACGACGACGUUGAUAGGCCGGGUGUGUAAGCGCAGCGAUGCGUUGAGCUAACCGGUACUAAUGAACCGUGAGGCUUAACCUUACAACGCCGAAG